AUGGUUCUGCUAUCACUAAGAGAUGGUCCCGCGGUGCAUUAGUUAGUUGGUGAGGUAAUGGCUCACCAAGACGAUGAUGCAUAGCCGAGUUGAGAGACUGAUCGGCCACAAUGGGACUGAGACACGGCCCAUACUCCUACGGGAGGCAGCAGUAGGGAAUCUUCCACAAUGGGCGAAAGCCUGAUGGAGCAACGCCGCGUGUGUGAUGAAGGGUUUCGGCUCGUAAAACACUGUUGUAAGAGAAGAAUGACAUUG
This 255-nucleotide ribosomal RNA is filed under the name uncultured bacterium. RNAcentral's name for it is "partial 16S ribosomal RNA". It matches the Rfam family "Bacterial small subunit ribosomal RNA", at positions 202 to 457 of the family's 1533-position model. The record is from RNAcentral.